Long non-coding RNA from Lepidothrix coronata (blue-crowned manakin), 546 nucleotides. RefSeq lists it as uncharacterized. The record is from RefSeq and is a predicted model, not a curated record. Lineage: Eukaryota; Metazoa; Chordata; Aves; Passeriformes; Pipridae. The transcript has 5 exons.
UUUCCUUAUCAACCCACUCAAAACUAAUGGGAGCAAGAGAGAACAGAGCAAAGGCUUUGGCAAGGCAGGGUCUUACAACAUCAAACCGUACUGAAGGCAGAUUUCCACAAAGUGCUUGCACAGCACAGAAAGUUUAAGUGUUGGCACCGAGACAGAAAUGGAUGUCUGACCCAAUAGUUCAUUUAUGCUCAUCCGUCACUGAAGAAGAUGGAUACUGCAGAGGAGUUGAUUAGGCUGAGAUUCAUCAUUCCUCUUUCUAGAGCUGAGUUACACCAGGGCAAGACAACAACUGUGGGAUUUCUGCAAGGUCUUGUGAUGAAGCAAAAUGUUGUUUACCUGCAACAAACAGAGAGAAACCGUCUCCCAUGUGGCCACCAGGAAUGUCUCUGGAAUGAUCUGUCGUUCCUGGAUGCAAAUGGCAUCCAAAGGCACACGGUGCUCGUGCACUUAACCAAGCACAUUCUGAAGGCAGGAUAAUUUGGAAAGAUGACCAUUUAUAGAAGAUUAGUUGUCCUCUGACCGCAGUUACAAUUAUCUGGGAGAACA